Long non-coding RNA from Amphimedon queenslandica, 827 nucleotides. RefSeq lists it as uncharacterized. The transcript is spliced from 3 exons. NCBI's taxonomy places the organism in Eukaryota, Metazoa, Porifera, Demospongiae, Haplosclerida, Niphatidae. The record is from RefSeq and is a predicted model, not a curated record.
AAAGUUGAAGCAGGAAUUAAUGGUCUUAGAAAAUGAAAUUGUUAACAAGCUGUGUUUGAGGUUUGAAACUGAGAGAAAUGAUGAAGAUCCGCCACCAAAGAGAAUGAGAAUUAAACUGAGUACUCCAGAAAAAGAUACACUAUCUCAUACAAUAGCUGAAGGAACUCCUUGUGUUUUUGUACAUUAUAAGAAAGGAAAGAAGCAUCGAGUUUAUCGAGUAAUAAGGUCACUACGUUGCUUAGCAAUGAGUGUUGGUCGAGGUAGUAGAAAGUCUGUUGUUAAUCAGAUGUUCAAGGAUGCCAGAAUGAGAAAAGUUACAGUGGAAAGAGUUGAAGCAUUAAUGAAUAGAGAGCUUCGUUUCACAUGUACACGUGAUGCCAACUCAAUGUUUGGAAAUAAGUCUUUAUGCAAGAUUUUGAGGGGUUACAGCUAGCAAAUGAUAUGAAAUAGACUCUGCCAACAUUAUGUAAAAUAUUGGAUAUAAGCAUGGGAUCACAAUCAGAAAUAACAAUAGCAUUGAUUGGAGGCGUCUUGCUGAAGCAAUUUAAUUAAAAGAUGUCAUUCUUGCAGCGUGUGAUGUCAGUAUUACUUUAUUCGAGCCAAACAGACUACACAAGAUCAGGGAUGCAUGUCACAUAAAAGCACUAUCAGAUACAUAGAUGCUCUAGGAGUUGAUUUUGAUGGACCAGUUAAGAAAUGGUGCCAAGACAUCAGUGAAGUUUAUUUUAACGUAUGGUGGAAAUCAAUAACUUUGUGUGACAUGUAUGACUUAUCAUAGGCGGCGGAACAAAAUUUAUUUUGGGGGGGCUGAACAUCAAUUAAGUUAU